GCGAGACGGUGGCCCAUCGGUCGAGCGCGACCGAUAAACUGUUCUCGGACGGCGCCGGGCUGCAGCCCUCGCGUCGUCCGCAAAUGAUCAGCCAGCAGCCGCUGCAACCCCAGGGAG
RNAcentral lists this small RNA (117 nucleotides) under Streptomyces sp. CB01883. Its description in RNAcentral is "Streptomyces-metK RNA". It matches the Rfam family "Streptomyces-metK RNA". Lineage: Bacteria; Bacillati; Actinomycetota; Actinomycetes; Kitasatosporales; Streptomycetaceae. The record is from Rfam by way of RNAcentral.